GCCCUCUUAGCUCAGCUGGUAGAGCGCAUCCAUGGUAAGGAUGAGGUCACCAGUUCAAUCCUGGUAGAGGGCU
Molecule: transfer RNA, 73 nt
Filed under: Leptospiraceae bacterium
Lineage: Bacteria; Pseudomonadati; Spirochaetota; Leptospiria; Leptospirales; Leptospiraceae
Also listed under: 1 other name
Description: tRNA-Thr
Rfam family: tRNA
About the family: Transfer RNA (tRNA) molecules are approximately 80 nucleotides in length. Their secondary structure includes four short double-helical elements and three loops (D, anti-codon, and T loops). Further hydrogen bonds mediate the characteristic L-shaped molecular structure. tRNAs have two regions of fundamental functional importance: the anti-codon, which is responsible for specific mRNA codon recognition, and the 3' end, to which the tRNAs corresponding amino acid is attached (by aminoacyl-tRNA synthetases). tRNAs cope with the degeneracy of the genetic code in two manners: having more than one tRNA (with a specific anti-codon) for a particular amino acid; and 'wobble' base-pairing, i.e. permitting non-standard base-pairing at the 3rd anti-codon position.
Source: RNAcentral